UUGGAGGGCAAGUCUGGUGCCAGCAGCCGCGGUAAUUCCAGCUCCAAUAGCGUAUAUUAAAGUUGCUGCAGUUAAAAAGCUCGUAGUUGAAUUUCGGGACCGAUAUAUCGGUCGUGCCUCGGUACGUACUGGUAUUUUCGGUUUCUCCCUUCUGACGAACCUUGAUGUCAUUAAUUUGGUGUCUUGGGGAGUCAGGACUGUUACUUUGAAAAAAUUAGAGUGUUUAAAGCAGGCUCACGCUUGAAUACAUUAGCAUGGAAUAAUGAAAUAGGACGUUUGAUUCUAUUUUGUUGGUUUCUAGGAUCGACGUAAUGAUUAAUAGGGAUAGUUGGGGGCAUUAGUAUUCAAUUGUCAGAGGUGAAAUUCUUGGAUUUAUUGAAGACUAACUACUGCGAAAGCAUUUGCCAAGGAUGUUUUCAUUAAUCAAGAACGAAAGUUAGGGGAUCGAAGACGAUCAGAUACCGUCGUAGUCUUAACCAUAAACUAUGCCGACUAGGGAUCGGAUGAUGUUAAUUUUUUAAUGACUCAUUCGGCGCCUUACGGGAAAC
This 548-nucleotide ribosomal RNA is filed under the name uncultured Glomeromycotina. RNAcentral describes it as "SSU rRNA". It matches the Rfam family "Eukaryotic small subunit ribosomal RNA", at positions 548 to 1098 of the family's 1831-position model. The record is from RNAcentral. Lineage: Eukaryota; Fungi; Glomeromycota.